RNAcentral lists this ribosomal RNA (253 nucleotides) under uncultured bacterium. Its description in RNAcentral is "partial 16S ribosomal RNA". It matches the Rfam family "Bacterial small subunit ribosomal RNA", at positions 524 to 776 of the family's 1533-position model. The record is from RNAcentral.
AACGUAGGAGACAAACGUUAUCCGGAGUUACUGGGCGUAAAGGGCGUGUAGGCGGUCUGUUAAGUCUGGCGUGAAAGCUCUCGGCUAAACCGGGAGAGGUCGUUGGAUACUGGCAAACUAGAGGACGGUAGAGGCGUGUGGAAUUCCGGGUGUAGUGGUGAAAUGCGUAGAGAUCCGGAGGAACACCAGUGGCGAAGGCGACACGCUGGGCCGUACCUGACGCUAAAGCGCGACAGCAUGGGGAGCAAACAGG